Molecule: ribosomal RNA, 460 nt
Filed under: uncultured bacterium
Lineage: Bacteria
Description: partial 16S ribosomal RNA
Rfam family: Bacterial small subunit ribosomal RNA
Source: RNAcentral
CCUACGGGCGGCAGCAGUGAGGAAUAUUGGUCAAUGGACGAGAGUCUGAACCAGCCAAGUAGCGUGAAGGAUGACUGCCCUAUGGGUUGUAAACUUCUUUUAUAAAGGAAUAAAACGAGGCACGUGUGCCGUUUUGCAUGUACUUUAUGAAUAAGGAUCGGCUAACUCCGUGCCAGCAGCCGCGGUAAUACGGAGGAUCCGAGCGUUAUCCGGAUUUAUUGGGUUUAAAGGGAGCGUAGAUGGGUUGUUAAGUCAGUUGUGAAAGUUUGCGGCUCAACCGUAAAAUUGCAAUUGAUACUGGCAGUCUUGAGUACAGGUGGGGUAGGCGGAAGUCGUGGUGUAGCGGUGAAAUGCUUAGAUAUCACGAAGAACCCCGAUUGCGAAGGCAGCUUACUAAACUGUGACUGACAUUGAUGCUCGAAAGUGUGGGUAUCAAACAGGAUUAGAUACCCGGGUAGUC